UGGGGAAUAUUGGACAAUGGGCGAAAGCCUGAUCCAGCCAUGCCGCGUGUGUGAAGAAGGUCUUCGGAUUGUAAAGCACUUUAAGUUGGGAGGAAGGGCAUUAACCUAAUACGUUAGUGUUUUGACGUUACCGACAGAAUAAGCACCGGCUAACUCUGUGCCAGCAGCCGCGGUAAUACAGAGGGUGCAAGCGUUAAUCGGAAUUACUGGGCGUAAAGCGCGCGUAGGUGGUUUGUUAAGUUGGAUGUGAAAUCCCCUGGCUCAACCUGGGAACUGCAUUCAAAACUGACUGACUAGAGUAUGGUAGAGGGUGGUGGAUUUGCCUGUGUAGCGGUGAAAUGCGUAGAUAUAGGAAGGAACACCAGUGGCGAAGGCGACCACCUGGACUAAUACUGACACUGAGGUGCGAAAGCGUGGGGAGCAAACA
RNAcentral lists this ribosomal RNA (427 nucleotides) under uncultured bacterium. RNAcentral's name for it is "partial 16S ribosomal RNA". It matches the Rfam family "Bacterial small subunit ribosomal RNA", at positions 355 to 774 of the family's 1533-position model. The record is from RNAcentral.